This 66-nucleotide transfer RNA is filed under the name Euthystira luteifemora. RNAcentral's name for it is "tRNA-Ala". It matches the Rfam family "tRNA". Rfam says of the family: Transfer RNA (tRNA) molecules are approximately 80 nucleotides in length. Their secondary structure includes four short double-helical elements and three loops (D, anti-codon, and T loops). The record is from RNAcentral. Lineage: Eukaryota; Metazoa; Arthropoda; Insecta; Orthoptera; Acrididae.
AGGGUUAUAGUUAAUUAUAACAUUUGAGUUGCAUUCAAAAAAUAUUGAUAAAAUCAAUCAACCUUA